Girardinichthys multiradiatus is the source of this 262-nucleotide long non-coding RNA. RefSeq lists it as uncharacterized. The transcript is spliced from 2 exons. NCBI's taxonomy places the organism in Eukaryota, Metazoa, Chordata, Actinopteri, Cyprinodontiformes, Goodeidae. The record is from RefSeq and is a predicted model, not a curated record.
CCACAACACAGAACAAUGACUUGCAGAUCAGCGAUAGCUUCAAGGUCUAAACUGGGCUUACGGGAUGACUUCUCGCAACACUCACCGAGCGUUCGAAAUCUGAGCUCCCCUCACCUCUAAAAGGGGUUGUUCAGGGUUUUCUGGAGCAGAAUUCAUGGCUCCAUCAGUCGCUCCCAGUUAUUCAGGCCCCGAAGCAGAAUAAGUCCCAGACCAUCCCACCACCAUCACCAUGUCUGGCAGUUGUAUGUAUGAUGCUCUUUUU